AGAGUUUGAUCCUGGCUCAGGACGAACGCUGGCGGCGUGCCUAACACAUGCAAGUCAAGGGGAAAGUUUUACUUCGGUUUAACAAGUAUACUGGCGGACGGGUGAGUAACGCGUAGGCAACCUGCCCUUUUGAAUGGGAUAACCCAGCGAAAGCUGGACUAAUACCGUAUGCUGCAUAUUAAUCACAUGGUUGAUAUGUGAAAGGCUGCUCUUCGGAGCAUCCGCAAAAGGAUGGGCCUGCGUUCCAUUAGUUAGUUGGUGAGGUAACGGCUCACCAAGGCAGCGAUGGAUAGCUGGUUUGAGAGAGCGAUCAGCCACACUGGGACUGAGAUACGGCCCAGACUCCUACGGGAGGCAGCAGUGAGGAAUAUUGCGCAAUGGAGGAAACUCUGACGCAGCAACGCCGCGUGGGGGAUGAAGUUCUAUGGAGCGUAAACCCCUGUAAGUAGGGACGAAAGGUAGAUAUUCAAAUAGGGUAUUUAUUUGACGGUACCUACAGAGUAAGCUCCGGCUAACUCCGUGCCAGCAGCCGCGGUAAUACGGGGGGAGCAAGCGUUGUCCGGAAUUACUGGGCGUAAAGGGCGUGUAGGCGGUUUGAUAAGUCAGAUGUUAAAGCCCCCGGCUUAACCGGGGAUUGUCAUUUGAAACUGUCAGGCUUGAGUGCGAGAGAGGGUAGUGGAAUUCCCAGUGUAGCGGUGAAAUGCGUAGAUAUUGGGAAGAACACCAGUAGCGAAGGCGGCUACCUGGCUCGCAACUGACGCUAAGGCGCGAAAGCGUGGGGAGCAAACAGGAUUAGAUACCCUGGUAGUCCACGCUGUAAACGAUGAACACUAGGUGUUGGUUUGCCGCAGCUGAUCAGUGCCGCAGUUAACGCAUUAAGUGUUCCGCCUGGGGAGUACGAUCGCAAGGUUGAAACUCAAAGGAAUUGACGGGGGCCCGCACAGCGGUGGAGCAUGUGGAUUAAUUCGAUGCAACGCGAAGAACCUUACCGGGGUUUGACAUCAUAAUGAAGUUUGCAGAGAUGUAAACGUUCUUCGGAACGCUAUGACAGGUCCUGCAUGCCUGUC
RNAcentral lists this ribosomal RNA (1067 nucleotides) under uncultured bacterium. RNAcentral describes it as "bacterial SSU rRNA". It matches the Rfam family "Bacterial small subunit ribosomal RNA", at positions 8 to 1053 of the family's 1533-position model. The record is from RNAcentral.